CACUGAACUACUUCCCCCAGCUCUUUAUUUAUGUAUUAUUUUGAGACAGGGGCUUGCUAAAUUGUGCGGGCUGGCCUCCAACUUGCUAUCCUCCUGCCCAUCCUCCCAAGUUGGUGGGAUUAGACCUGUGCCACUGCACUGAUUCCUUGGUCUUUAGUAGUUAUUGACGAUCUUUCUUCAGCUCUGUUCUGUUUCCUUAGGGGGAUGGGAGGGGCAAGGAAAGAUUUGGGACUCUCCAUGAUCAGCUUUCAUGAUUAGAAAUGGGAUGGGAGAGGAAUUGUGUCUGCUGAGCACCCCUUGUCCUCACAAAAGCACUUGAGGUCACUGAAAAAGAGUCUCGGGGCAGGAGAGGGCAUAGGGUGGCAGUGAUGACCCCAGGCCAUGGGGCACAUGGGAGCCAGCAGGGGAGACCCCUGGAAAUGUCUAGAGAGAAGGUUAGAAGUGGAAGAGGUGAUGUGGUGCCAUGGGUUGCUUUCCUGCUUGUUCCAGGAAAGAGGAGUCAUGGCUGGUUGUGACUCCUCUGUCUUCCCAGUAGAGCUGAGGCUGCACCCAGCUGGGUCCCAAAGCUGCUUCUCUUUGCCCCCACCUUCCCUCCCCUCCCCAUCGCUCAGAUUCCAAUACAAUUUCCAGCUAACCAGCAUGUCGAUAGAACAAGUCGGGCGGCCGGAUUGCUGGCCAAUUACAGGAAAUCAUUCUGCUCCACAGCUCAGCGCUUCGGGAGAGGGAGGGAGGGACUGAAGGAGCAGUCGCCCAGCUAGCAGGCUGGGAAGGGGCUCCUGGCAGAAAGCAGGGAGUGCUGCAGCCCCCAGGGCAGGAGAGGAUGGAUGGGAAGGCUCCUGGGGACAGACUGGCCUGGGGCUCUUCCUCAGCCUCACUCAAAGCUCUGGAUCCAGCUUCCCUGUGAUGGGGAGAUUGAUGCCUCAAGCCACAAAGAGAGCUGGGGGCUGAGGGCGGAUGAAGAGGGUCCUGGAGGGAAGGCAUUUGCUUGGAGCUGAAGAGGAUAGGAUGGGGGGAUGGUGAGACCAACCUCCUCUAGAACCCCAAGGAGUGGGGGUGGAAAUGGGGAUGGCACCCAGGCCUCACCCAGGGGAGCCCUGUAGGGCUAUCUGGGGGCCUGAAGCUGGAGCCACACAGGCAAGACCUGUACUUCCACAGCAGGCCCUGGCCAAGGGUAUCCCAAGGGAAGGGGGAAUUGGGGAGGAAAGGGGCCCAGCCUGCAGCUGAGAGGACUAGCAGCAGCCUGGCUUGAGGAAAGGGUGAGUUUUUCACCCCAGCUUCCCUUCCACUCCAGAAGGCAGGCUGCAGAAGUUGGGGGCGGGGGUCAGACAGUACUCUUCACUUAGCUUCCCAGCUCUUUAAUUUCCACCUCUGGCUCUCAGGUUAAAGUCCCCUCUGCCCCCUAUCUAUCCCACCUUCUGUGCCCACUUGAAGGCUUGUUUGCCUACUCCACCCCUACCCCUCAUCAUGUCUCUCCCCAACUGUUUUAGGCCCUCUUCCAAACUGCCUGCCCAACCAGCAGACCCAGCUCCCCAUCUCAAAGAGGAGCUCUCUCCCCUGCUCCUGGGUGUUUCCUUCAAAGUACUGGAAGAUCUUUGAGGAACAGAAAAUUACCUAGGACUAAUUCCACCCAAUGAUUGACUAUUGUUGCAGUUUACAAGCCCAAAAGGAGACUUCUGGGAUCCAGUGACUUCCUCUGCUCCAGUCUGUAUAGCCACCAACCCAGCUACAGGACCCUGGUCAAGUCCUUUAGCCUCAGUGUCCCGGUGUGUGAAAUGGGCCAACGUCCUCGGUCUCUCAGAUCAUAUGUGAGGAGGAAAAGAGAGGAUGUGCAAGACAAGAAGGAAGGACUCACCAGUAGGCCAGAGGGAGCCGGUGCCAGGUGUUACCCUGGUCAGGAUCCUUGCCUCCCUGCACCGGCUCCUCAGCCAGGAGUCAGCGCGAUGAAGAAGUCAGCCACAACUAGAGGACAGUUCUUUUCCCAUCACACCUGGAGUUUGGGUGAAUAAGCAUGGCUGACAUGAAACCCAGAGCUGCACUGAGAAGCAAACUCACUCCCCAGCCUCAAUUUUCCUAAUUGUGAAAUGGGACUACAAGGCCAUAAGCCACUAAGCAUGAAGUGCUAUUUGGACAGGCGGGUGACUUCUGGAGGCUACUGAAUGCAUUGUCCUGCCUUCCACACACACACACUUCUAACCCACUAUGCCCCGUCUGCAGAGGAUUAUCUCUGCUGGCAAAAUGUCUUUGGGCCUAGCAACUCACCAUUUAUCAACUCAGGAAGUCCUUCUGACAAUCUACCUUAAAUCUCCUACUGCUUCCUUCAGGGAAAAUUUAAAGAACAAACAGCAAAAAGAUAAAUGCUUAUGGGCUGGUGAUGCCAUAAUAUUUUUUAAAAAUACCCCCAAAGAUGGCCGGGGGUGGGGUGGGGUGGGGUGGGAAUUACCUCUGGACACAAUGCUCUUUACACUAAACAUCUUGGCGAUAAAUAUAGCUGUGUAAUUCUUUUUUCUCCUUGGCAGAGAGAAAGGCUGAGGCUGGGCAGAAAGGCAGAGGGACCCGAAAAUAUAAAUCAAUAUGUGACUUUAA
Ictidomys tridecemlineatus (thirteen-lined ground squirrel) is the source of this 2583-nucleotide non-coding RNA. The record is from RefSeq and is a predicted model, not a curated record. Lineage: Eukaryota; Metazoa; Chordata; Mammalia; Rodentia; Sciuridae.